This 78-nucleotide transfer RNA is filed under the name Acidobacteriota bacterium. RNAcentral's name for it is "Acidobacteria bacterium tRNA-Arg". It matches the Rfam family "tRNA". From Rfam's summary of the family: Transfer RNA (tRNA) molecules are approximately 80 nucleotides in length. Lineage: Bacteria; Pseudomonadati; Acidobacteriota. The record is from RNAcentral.
GCGCCUGUAGCUCAGAAGGAACAGAGCAGCGGUUUCCUAAACCGCGUGUCGGGGGUUCGAUUCCCUCCAGGCGCACCA